CAAGACAACUUUACGGAGUUGACGAUUGACGGAGCGAAGCGACGUCAAAGCGUUCAUUAAAGUCGAGUUGGCUUAGGGAUACGUUCGUUGGGUAGGGGAGCGUUCUGUAAGCCUGUGAAGGUGUGUCGUGAGGCAUGCUGGAGGUAUCAGAAGUGCGAAUGCUGACAUAAGUAACGAUAAAGCGGGUGAAAAGCCCGCUCGCCGGAAGACCAAGGGUUCCUGUCCAACGUUAAUCGGGGCAGGGUGAGUCGACCCCUAAGGCGAGGCCGAAAGGCGUAGUCGAUGGGAAACGGGUUAAUAUUCCCGUACUUGGUGUUACUGCGAAGGGGGGACGGAGAAGGCUAUGUUGGCCGGGCGACGGUUGUCCCGGUUUAAGCGUGUAGGUGUGUGUUCCAGGUAAAUCCGGUUCACUUUAACACUGAGGCGUGACGACGAGGCACUACGGUGCUGAAGCAACAAAUGCCCUGCUUCCAGGAAAAGCCUCUAAGCAUCAGGUAACACGAAAUCGUACCCCAAACCGACACAGGUGGUCAGGUAGAGAAUACCAAGGCGCUUGAGAGAAUUCGGGUGAAGGAACUAGGCAAAAUGGUGCCGUAACUUCGGGAGAAGGCACGCUGACACGUAGGUGAAGUGAUUUACUCAUGGAGCUGAAGUCAGUCGAAGAUACCAGCUGGCUGCAACUGUUUAUUAAAAACACAGCACUGUGCAAACACGAAAGUGGACGUAUACGGUGUGACGCCUGCCCGGUGCCGGAAGGUUAAUUGAUGGGGUCAGCGCAAGCGAAGCUCCUGAUCGAAGCCCCGGUAAACGGCGGCCGUAACUAUAACGGUCCUAAGGUAGCGAAAUUCCUUGUCGGGUAAGUUCCGACCUGCACGAAUGGCGUAAUGAUGGCCAGGCUGUCUCCACCCGAGACUCAGUGAAAUUGAACUCGCUGUGAAGAUGCAGUGUACCCGCGGCAAGACGGAAAGACCCCGUGAACCUUUACUAUAGCUUGACACUGAACAUUGAGCCUUGAUGUGUAGGAUAGGUGGGAGGCUUUGAAGUGUGGACGCCAGUCUGCAUGGAGCCGACCUUGAAAUACCACCCUUUAAUGUUUGAUGUUCUAACGUGGACCCGUAAUCCGGGUUGCGGACAGUGUCUGGUGGGUAGUUUGACUGGGGCGGUCUCCUCCUAAAGAGUAACGGAGGAGCACGAAGGUUGGCUAAUCCUGGUCGGACAUCAGGAGGUUAGUGCAAUGGCAUAAGCCAGCUUGACUGCGAGCGUGACGGCGCGAGCAGGUGCGAAAGCAGGUCAUAGUGAUCCGGUGGUUCUGAAUGGAAGGGCCAUCGCUCAACGGAUAAAAGGUACUCCGGGGAUAACAGGCUGAUACCGCCCAAGAGUUCAUAUCGACGGCGGUGUUUGGCACCUCGAUGUCGGCUCAUCACAUCCUGGGGCUGAAGUAGGUCCCAAGGGUAUGGCUGUUCGCCAUUUAAAGUGGUACGCGAGCUGGGUUUAGAACGUCGUGAGACAGUUCGGUCCCUAUCUGCCGUGGGCGCUGGAGAACUGAGGGGGGCUGCUCCUAGUACGAGAGGACCGGAGUGGACGCAUCACUGGUGUUCGGGUUGUCAUGCCAAUGGCACUGCCCGGUAGCUAAAUGCGGAAGAGAUAAGUGCUGAAAGCAUCUAAGCACGAAACUUGCCCCGA
RNAcentral lists this ribosomal RNA (1683 nucleotides) under Salmonella enterica subsp. enterica serovar 4,[5],12:i:-. RNAcentral describes it as "partial 23S ribosomal RNA". It matches the Rfam family "Bacterial large subunit ribosomal RNA", at positions 1163 to 2802 of the family's 2925-position model. The record is from RNAcentral. Lineage: Bacteria; Pseudomonadati; Pseudomonadota; Gammaproteobacteria; Enterobacterales; Enterobacteriaceae.